This 433-nucleotide ribosomal RNA is filed under the name uncultured bacterium. RNAcentral describes it as "partial 16S ribosomal RNA". It matches the Rfam family "Bacterial small subunit ribosomal RNA", at positions 29 to 507 of the family's 1533-position model. The record is from RNAcentral.
AACGAACGCUGGCGGCAUGCCUAACACAUGCCAGUCGAACGAGACCUUCGGGUCUAGUGGCGCACGGGUGCGUAACGCGUUGGAACCUGCCCUUAGGUUCGGAAUAACUCCCCGAAAGGGGUGCUAAUACCGGAUAAUGUCUUCGGACCAAAGAUUUAUCGCCUUUGGAUGGGCCCGCGUUGGAUUAGCUAGUUGGUAGGGUAAAAGCCUACCAAGGCGACGAUCCAUAGCUGGUCUGAGAGGAUGAUCAGCCACACUGGGACUGAGACACGGCCCAGACUACUACGGGAGGCAGCAGUGGGGAAUAUUGGAAAAUGGGCGAAAGCCUGAUCAAGCAAUGACGCGUGAGUGAUGAAGGCAUUAGGGUUGUAAAGCUCUUUUACCCGGGAUGAUAAUGACAGUACCGGGAGAAUAAGCUCCGGCUAACUCCGUG